GUUUACUGUUUGCAAUGUCAUGCUUUAAUGCGUCUGCUCAUAAGAAACAAUGAAGUGAAAUGUGAUCGUAUGUGAUGUUAUAAACAGUUUAAUCAUAGUGAGUGAGUAAAUUAGAUCUAGCUCGCUUUUAAUAUCAAGUUGAGUUAAAUUCGCUGCCAGUCGAUGUGCUGCAUCGGGUUACAGCAUUGGCUGUAACUUUCCUCUUGGCUCACGCCCACACGGGAUGGUUUAAAAGAGCCCGGGAGUCUUUGCUCGGUCUUCAGUUUUUUUUCUUCAGUUUUUCUCUUCAGUUUUGUCUUCUCUUCAGUUCUUCUCUUCAGUUUUUUCUUCUCCUUAGUUUUGUCUUCUCUUCAGUUUUUGUCUCUUCCGUUUUUGUCUUCGUCUAGUUUUCUUUUGUCUUCGCCUAUCGUUCGCAAUUUUCCCCGCGUUUUAUUAAUUGCCUUAAGCUCAGAUUUUUAUUCUAAACUUGGAUGAAAGCAUUCCCAAGUCCUUUAGAGCCUCAGUAACAAGCUGCGCGCAUAAGAGAACCUCAGUCUAAGUCUUUUAUUUUUGUUCGCUAAAGUGACUCCUGAAGAUAAUAUCGGCUGGCCAGCGAAAUUAUUUUCUUAAGUUAUUGGCGCGAAUUAAUCUGCAACCAAG
This is a non-coding RNA of Xyrichtys novacula (pearly razorfish), 639 nucleotides long. Lineage: Eukaryota; Metazoa; Chordata; Actinopteri; Labriformes; Labridae. The record is from the annotation of a GenBank genome assembly.